Nitrospirae bacterium CG2_30_41_42 is the source of this 37-nucleotide non-coding RNA. NCBI's taxonomy places the organism in Bacteria, Pseudomonadati, Nitrospirota. The record is from Rfam.
GAUUGAGAGAAAGUUCCAUUAAAACAAGGAUUGAAAC